GGGGAUGUAGCUCAGUGGUAGUGUACUUGCCUAGUGUGCAUGAGGCCCUGGGUUCAAUCCCCAGCAUCCUCU
This 72-nucleotide transfer RNA is filed under the name Fukomys damarensis (Damara mole-rat). It matches the Rfam family "tRNA". From Rfam's summary of the family: Transfer RNA (tRNA) molecules are approximately 80 nucleotides in length. Their secondary structure includes four short double-helical elements and three loops (D, anti-codon, and T loops). Lineage: Eukaryota; Metazoa; Chordata; Mammalia; Rodentia; Bathyergidae. The record is from Rfam by way of RNAcentral.